This 253-nucleotide ribosomal RNA is filed under the name uncultured bacterium. RNAcentral's name for it is "partial 16S ribosomal RNA". It matches the Rfam family "Bacterial small subunit ribosomal RNA", at positions 524 to 776 of the family's 1533-position model. The record is from RNAcentral.
UACAGAGGUCUCAAGCGUUGUUCGGAUUCAUUGGGCGUAAAGGGUGUGUAGGUGGCGCGCUAAGUCGGGUGUGAAAUUUCGGAGCUUAACUCCGAAACUGCAUUCGAUACUGGCGUGCUUGAGGACUGGAGAGGAGACUGGAAUUCCCGGUGUAGCGGUGAAAUGCGUAGAGAUCGGGAAGAACAUCGGUGGCGAAAGCGCUCUGCUGGACUGCAACUGACACUCAGGGACGAAAGCUAGGGGAGCGAAUGGG